GGCCUGAGAGGGUGACCGGCCACACUGGGACUGAGACACGGCCCAGACUCCUACGGGAGGCAGCAGUGGGGAAUAUUGCACAAUGGGCGAAAGCCUGAUGCAGCAACGCCGCGUGAGGGAUGACGGCCUUCGGGUUGUAAACCUCUUUUAGCAAGGAAGAAGCGAAAGUGACGGUACUUGCAGAAAAAGCGCCGGCUAACUACGUGCCAGCAGCCGCGGUAAUACGUAGGGCGCAAGCGUUAUCCGGAAUUAUUGGGCGUAAAGAGCUCGUAGGCGGUUUGUCGCGUCUGCUGUGAAAACUGGAGGCUCAACCUCCAGCCUGCAGUGGGUACGGGCAGACUAGAGUGCGGUAGGGGAGAUUGGAAUUCCUGGUGUAGCGGUGGAAUGCGCAGAUAUCAGGAGGAACACCGAUGGCGAAGGCAGAUCUCUGGGCCGUAACUGACGCUGAGGAGCGAAAGGGUGGGGAGCAAACAGGCUUAGAUACCCUGGUAGUCCACCCCGUAAACGUUGGGAACUAGUUGUGGGGACCAUUCCACGGUUUCCGUGACGCAGCUAACGCAUUAAGUUC
This 568-nucleotide ribosomal RNA is filed under the name Microbacterium sp. MDRC-57. Its description in RNAcentral is "bacterial SSU rRNA". It matches the Rfam family "Bacterial small subunit ribosomal RNA", at positions 289 to 867 of the family's 1533-position model. The record is from RNAcentral. Lineage: Bacteria; Bacillati; Actinomycetota; Actinomycetes; Micrococcales; Microbacteriaceae.